GUUUUGUCUCUGGGGUGAUGUGGGGUAUUGCUACCUGCUGCUGGUUUCUGGCCAACACCUACCUGAGUGCUGUGGUCAGUUUCCCCAUAAUAACCACGGGUCCUGGUCUCAUUGCAGCUCUUUGGGGAGUGGUGGUCUUUAAGGAGGUUAAGGGUUGGUGUAACUUCCUCAUCCUGGGCGUGGCGUUCUCAUUGGUUCUAGCCGGAGCCCUGCUGACAGCCUUCUCUAAGGUGUAACACACAGCUUCUCUAAGGUGUAACACACAGCUUCUCUAAGGUGUAACACACAGCUUCUCCAAGGUGUAACACACAGCUUCUCCAAGGUGUAACACACAGCUUCUCUAAGGUGUAACACACAGCUUCUCUAAGGUGUAACACACAGCUUCUCUAAGGUGUAACACACAGCUUCUCUAAGGUGUAACACACAGCUUCUCCAAGGUGUAACACACACCUUCUCCAAGGUGUAACACACAGCUUCUCUAAGGUGUUAUGACCUUCCGCCAGACACUCAGUGAACCAGGAGGAUGAUGGUUACUGUCCUCCACAAGGGAACCGUCUUAACUUUUAACUGAUACACUUUUUUUAACCAUUUCUAGUUAGUCUCUAAUAUUUUCUUCCUUGAUGAAUUCAUGGAAAUAGACAAAUGAUUUUAUCUUAAAGGGAUACUUUUUUUAAAAUGUUUUAUAAAGUUUGUUUUUCCACUGUGAUGUUACAGCCAGUGGCUGAAGAGGGUGAACUGUAGAGUUAUCUAAUCUAAGUGCCUGAAACUCACUUUCUGGUCCACCACUGUAGAGCCAGUACUUCCUGUUUAUCUAAUGUGACGUUACAGCCAGUACUUCCUGUUGAUCUAAUGUGACGUUACAGCCAGUACUUCCUGUUGAUAUCUAAUGUGACGUUACAGCCAGUACUUCCUGUUUAUCUAAUGUGAUGUUACAGCCAGUACUUCCUGUUUAUCUAAUGUGAUGUUAGAGCCAGUACUUCCUGUUUAUCUAAUGUGACGUUACAGCCAGUACUUCCUGUUGAUAUGUGACGUUACAGCCAGUACUUCCUGUCGAUAUGUGACGUUACAGCCAGUACUUCCUGUCGAUAUGUGACGUUACAGCCAGUACUUCCUGUCGAUCUAAUGUGACGUUACAGCCAGUACUUCCUGUUGAUCUAAUGUGACGUUACAGCCAGUACUUCCUGUUGAUUUGGCCAUCCAAUGUAUGAGACAUUGCAACCCAAUAGAUGCUAGUCAACCUGCAAAGUGAACACUUCUAAGGUCGCUAAGAUAAAUAUGACUAAACUAUAAAAGGCACGGGCUUUCAGCUCUAGAAACGGUUUAUAGCCAUAUUGAAUAAUUAGAUAAAGACAUUGUUGGGUUCUGAGAAUAUGAAAUAUACUUAUUCAUGUCACUGAGAGAGGGUAUAAUGUUUACAUUAUGUCAGGAUAUGUCACUGAGACA
Non-coding RNA from Salmo salar (Atlantic salmon), 1443 nucleotides. NCBI's taxonomy places the organism in Eukaryota, Metazoa, Chordata, Actinopteri, Salmoniformes, Salmonidae. The record is from RefSeq and is a predicted model, not a curated record.